Molecule: long non-coding RNA, 745 nt
Filed under: Ananas comosus (pineapple)
Lineage: Eukaryota; Viridiplantae; Streptophyta; Magnoliopsida; Poales; Bromeliaceae
Description: long non-coding RNA (ACOM_LNC000779)
Source: RNAcentral
UCUUCAAUUGAAUCUUCUCUCCAAAACUUUGCUUUUAUCUCUUUAAGACUCCAUUCGACUUCACGAAAUUCGCCAACUUAGAAAAUCCUUAACAGCCAGAUAUAUAGGCAGCUGAGUAUUCUAUACCUACAGUGAAAUUCAAUUUUCUCGGGAGAUUUGUUAGAUUUAGGUUUUGUAAUUAAGGUGGUAGCAGAUUUAGAAGAAUCGGAUGGAGGAGUUACAAGAGAAGGACCAGUAGAAAUUUUAGAAGUAGGAUAAGAAGGUGUUUUUCUAAUUGCAGUUAUGAGGCCUAAGGUGAUAAGCCAAGCCUCUAACUAUUCUUGCCACAUCAGAAAAUCUACCCCUUUAAAUUUUUCUAGUUUAAGGCUAGAGGUGUCAGCAAAAGUCAUUCUAAACAAUCUAGUUGAGGGAAUAAAGAAAUUAAGGAUGAUUGUAAUGAGCUGCAAAAAAGGUUCAAAAUACCUUUUUAGAAAAACAAAUAUGGUUGUUAAAGUUUCUACCAUGGUCAACCAGAAUAUUUUAGGAUUUCAAUUUUUAAAAUUAGUAUAUUAUUACAGUUCAUUAGGCAGCAAACAGAUGGCCUAAACAAUUUAAAAAAUUUGAUUUCAAUUAGUUAAUUUCGAGCAAAUAAUAUAUGUAAGGAGACAAUAUCUAUGCAGCAAACAGAAUUUAAAAGAUGCUGAAAUAAUAAGUAAAGUGGAAUUUAGAAGUAGUGCUGUUGGUUAGAUCUUCUUUGUUAAAGAUG